AUUGAACGCUGGCGGCAUGCCUUACACAUGCAAGUCGAACGGCAGCAUGAUCUAGCUUGCUAGAUUGAUGGCGAGUGGCGAACGGGUGAGUAAUACAUCGGAACGUGCCCUGUAGUGGGGGAUAACUAGUCGAAAGAUUAGCUAAUACCGCAUACGACCUGAGGGUGAAAGUGGGGGACCGCAAGGCCUCAUGCUAUAGGAGCGGCCGAUGUCUGAUUAGCUAGUUGGUGAGGUAAAGGCUCACCAAGGCGACGAUCAGUAGCUGGUCUGAGAGGACGAUCAGCCACACUGGGACUGAGACGCGGCCCAGACUCCUACGGGAGGCAGCAGUGGGGAAUUUUGGACAAUGGGCGAAAGCCUGAUCCAGCAAUGCCGCGUGUGUGAAGAAGGCCUUCGGGUUGUAAAGCACUUUUGUCCGGAAAGAAAUGGCCCUGGUUAAUACCUGGGGUCGAUGACGGUACCGGAAGAAUAAGGACCGGCUAACUACGUG
Molecule: ribosomal RNA, 490 nt
Filed under: uncultured bacterium
Lineage: Bacteria
Description: partial 16S ribosomal RNA
Rfam family: Bacterial small subunit ribosomal RNA
Source: RNAcentral